RNAcentral lists this ribosomal RNA (618 nucleotides) under Tomentella sp. 2ENA1911. RNAcentral's name for it is "eukaryotic LSU rRNA". The stretch from base 226 to 380 matches the Rfam family "5.8S ribosomal RNA". The record is from RNAcentral. Lineage: Eukaryota; Fungi; Basidiomycota; Agaricomycetes; Thelephorales; Thelephoraceae.
GUGAACCUGCGGAAGGAUCAUUACCGAAUUGUCAACACGAGUUGUUGCUGGUCCUCAGAUGGGGGCAUGUGCACGCUCUGUUUACACAUCCACUCACACCUGUGCACCCUCUGUGGUUNUGUGGCAUGGAGGGCUCUGUCCUCUCGCUGUGGUUNUGCAUCUUUACACACACACACUAUAAUAAAGUCUUAUGGAACGUAUGUCGCGUUUAACGCAAUACAAUACAACUUUCAGCAACGGAUCUCUUGGCUCUCGCAUCGAUGAAGAACGCAGCGAAAUGCGAUAAGUAAUGUGAAUUGCAGAAUUCAGUGAAUCAUCGAAUCUUUGAACGCACCUUGCGCCCUUUGGCUAUUNUGAAGGGCAUGCCUGUUUGAGUAUCAUGAACACCUCAACUCUCAUGGUUUGCCAUGAUGAGCUUGGACUUUGGGGGUCUUGCUGGCCUAUGGUUGGCUCCUCUCAAAUGAAUCAGCUUGCCAGUGUUUGGUGGCAUCACGGGUGUGAUAACUAUCUACGCUUGUGGUUUCCCACCAGGUAACCUUCAGUGAUGGAGGUUCGAAUGGGGCUCAUAAAUGUCCCUCCACAGUGAGGACAGCUUUGAAACGUUGAUCUCAAUCAGGA